GACGAACGCUGGCGGCGUGCUUAACACAUGCAAGUCGAACGGAAAGGCCCUGCUUUUGUGGGGUUCUCGUUUGGCGAACGGGUGAGUAACACGUGAGUAUCCUGCCCUUGACUUUGGGAUAACUUCAGGAAACUGGGGCUAAUACCGGGUAGGAUCUCCUGCUCCAUGUGGUUGGUUGGAAAGUUUCGGCGGUUGGGUAUGGACUCGCGGCUUAUCAGCUGGUUGGUGUGGUAGUGGCGUACCAAGGGUUUGACGGGUCGGCGGCCUGCGAGGGUUGACGGCCACCUUGGGACUGAGAUAGGGACCAGACUGCUACGGGAGGCAGCAGUGGGGAAUAUUGCAGAAUGGGCGGAAGCCUGAUGCAGAAACGCCGCGUGCGGGAUGACGGCCUUUGGGUUGUAAACAGCUUUCGACUGUGACGAAGCGUGAGUGACGGUAAUGGGUAAAGAAGCAACGGCUAACUACGUG
This 468-nucleotide ribosomal RNA is filed under the name uncultured bacterium. RNAcentral describes it as "partial 16S ribosomal RNA". It matches the Rfam family "Bacterial small subunit ribosomal RNA", at positions 28 to 507 of the family's 1533-position model. The record is from RNAcentral.